This 999-nucleotide unclassified non-coding RNA is filed under the name Hevea brasiliensis (rubber tree). Lineage: Eukaryota; Viridiplantae; Streptophyta; Magnoliopsida; Malpighiales; Euphorbiaceae. The record is from RNAcentral.
CCUCAUAGCAAGGUUUCUUAGCUGCUUAACCAUUCCCCCAACGCUUGUAGGUGAGCCAUUACUUUAAGCGGCCAUUGAAUGUGUUGCACAAAAUGACCAACUCAGCUAACAAGGCUUUGUGAUAAACAUGCAUCACGUCUUAAAAUUUUGCCUCGACUUUGAAGUCAGAAUACAUUUCUUUAGUUCAUGUCAACUGACACAAAGCACACUUUGAGAUCAUUAAUCCACCUUUACAUCAAUUUAAAAACCGGCCAACACACUCACAUAUCAAAUCUAUAAAAACUAUUUUUCAACUCGAUCUAAAACUAAAAACACCCUAGUAGAUUUUGAAGAGCUUGCUUCAAAAGUUAAUAUGAACAAUUAGGUUUUUAAGAGACACAACAACUCUCUGUGGGAGAUGGAAUUCUUAGAAAUGGCACUUGAAAGAACACCGCAGAUCUUAAAGCAAUUUGAACAUUUUAAGGGCAAAACUAAAUGCAAUCUUUGGACACGGGGAUAAAUGACGAGUUUGAGCAUUUACUCCAUGGCGAUUUAUCAAGCAUGAGCUAACUUACUAAGUAGGAAAUCUUGAUGCUCUUUAGAAGUUAGAUUAUAAUGGCGACACCAAGCCCAAAUUAGUGCAAGAAGCAGCCAGAUUAAGGGAUCAACAAAAGAUAACAUGUAGCUUUCCAGAUUUAGCAGAAGCAUAACCACACCACUUUCUCACAUCACUUUCUUACUUAAGCAGAAGCUUUCAUAGCCUUUCUCCUAAGGAUAACAUCAAACUCUAGCCAUAGAUUAUUUUCUUGAUCACUAACCUGUGCAUCAGCCCCAGAAGACACCAGUACAUUUAAACUUUGGGAAAAAGCAAGUCCUGAUAUUCGACUUUGGUGGCCCUUAAGCUUUGUUUUAACCUCAUCAACUCUGACAUUAUAAAUUUGAACUGAAGAAUCUUCCAUGCCAAUGGCAAUGAUAUUAUUAUCCUGAGGAUGGAAUGCCAAAAAUGUGGCAGCAGGAGGU